AUGUGCCUGCAGAAUUUCCCUUGCCAAGAGGUCGAGAGGCACAACAAGCCGGAGGUGGAGCUCAAGACUAGCUCUGAACUUCUGCUGAAUCCGGUGCUUAUAUGUCGUAAUGAAGCCGAGAAGUGUUUGGUAGAGACUUCAAUCAAUUCUAUCCGUAUAAGCUUGAAGGUUAAGCAGGCAGAUGAACUGGAAAAUAUUCUUGCAAAGAAGUUUCUUAGGUUUUUGUCGAUGAGGGCAGAGGCAUUCCAAGUGUUGAGGAGAAAACCAGUUCAGGGUUAUGAUAUUAGCUUCCUCAUAACAAACUACCACUGUGAGGAUAUGCACAAGCAUAAGCUCAUAGAUUUCAUUGUUCAGUUUAUGGAGGUAAGUAAAGGUCUAGUAAAUGAACAGCUGACAGCAAGAGACAUUGACAAGGAGAUCAGCGAGCUCAAGCUGUCGGUGAACACACGUGGCCGGCUGGUGGCAACUGAGUUCCUAAAGCAGUUCAUCUGA
This 492-nucleotide ribosomal RNA is filed under the name Triticum aestivum (bread wheat). Its description in RNAcentral is "partial small subunit ribosomal RNA". Lineage: Eukaryota; Viridiplantae; Streptophyta; Magnoliopsida; Poales; Poaceae. The record is from RNAcentral.